GCUGACGUGCCCUGGGACAAGCAAACCUUGGCACCUUUCUGUCCAGGAGGGAAGGACUUGGUAAUACCUAGGCAAAGCCUACAGUGAAUCAGCUCAGCUAUUGGCAGUUUUUGUAUCCUUCUCAAGUGGAAAACUGCCAAAGAUGGCUUUCUGAGUGGUCCCUGGUCCUCUCCACUUCCCCAAACUUCAGACACAGGUAAGCCUGUGAUGUCCUGAAUUCCUUGGGAAAUAUUGGGUCCCUCCUGGUGGAUGGCCAAUGCUGUGAAGAACUAUGGUGUACAGAGCUUAGGCAAUGGCUUGAAUGACUCAUUGCUGCAAGCAGAGUGGUUCUUGGCUGAAGCUGCUAUUGAGAGGGCAAGAGUCUCACAAGAACAGUUGGUCACGUGCUGCAGAGAGGGAGCUGCCAGUGAGCAGGGCUUGGGUGUUAAGGUCUCUAGGGUGGCAGAUCUGAGAAUUCCUGAAGGGGAAUAACAGACUUUGCUGAUUUAGCUUUUAUUGCAUUCAGGAAAAUGGGCCUUGGGUGAAAUUUUUACUCUGGUUUUUGGGGGCGGGCUGAAGCAUACUUUCCAAUCCAAGACUGACCUCUACCUCUGUCUCCCGUUGCUCCACUGGGACUGUACGUGGAUCUAUCCUGCAAUAACAUCGGAGUAGUUCUACAGGAUCAAGCAACUUGGAAUAAAUCUGACCUGAGGUGGAGAAGAACUUCUACAGAAUUUGCAGAGCAUCCAGCGUGUAUCAUCUGCUUAUCCAGAGCCGACACCAAGUUCUCUGAGGAGAAUCACAAUCAGCCAUCUUGAUUGUUCCCUUUCUUGGUUUAUUCGUAAGAAGCAUUUUGCUUGCUGGAAGCAUUUUGCUUGCUGAACUCUCAAACAUGACUUUGAGGCUAAUUUAUUGUAAAACUUUAGUUCUCAGUAUAGUCUCUUGCUGCCUGCUUCUGUUAGUUCCUUUCAAGGAUGACUUCCUCCCUGCAUCUUCCUGGUCUUGGAAAAACACCUGGUUUUGCAGGUGUUCCUUUCAUUUCUAGCUCAUAUUCUAGCAGGUGGCUAGUCAACUUUGGCAUGACUUUGAGUAAUUGUGCUCAAGCUCCACUUUGGUAAGGAAUCAAGCCUUACAAGUUUAGAUAUAAACUUCAUGUCUUUUUGCACAUUUAGCCUCUCCAGGUGGUGGGUGAUAAGCAUCCACCCUUCCCCUUCUGCUAAUCUCUACAGAAAAUGUAGGCAAGCCUUCCUAAUGGCCUUUUAAAAACAAUGAAGAUAAAUUAAAUAAAUUAAAGGUCCAUUACUGGGGGAAAAAUGUUGACUGCAUUAUUAUAGAGUGUGGAUUAAGGUGUCAUAAUAUGCCAUUUGACAGAUCUUCCUCUCAUUGCCUGUGCUGGCUUUGGGUGCAGACAGGAUCAAAAGUUCAUGAGAAUUGCCUUCAACCACUUUUGGAGAGAAUGGCUGGAGGUAACAAAAUUGACCCUAGAAAACUUCCAAAGUCUUUAUCAUUUACAGGAUUGAGUAAGGUGGGCAGAAGCACAGGUGGAGCAGUUUGUUCAUUAAAGUUUGGUUUUCAGAGCUCACCUUUAUGUGGUAAGGGUAUGACCAGAGAAUCUCCACCCAGUUUCAUGUCUGAGUCCAGCCACAUGAGACGCUUUGGAAAGCCAGGAUUUUACCCCCGAGUCCCAGCCCACCUGUCAAGGAGUUAUAGGUUUCAGUCGUUGCAUUCAAGCUUUAAGUCAGCUAAAAUCCUUGUAUUUAGCCACAUGUCUUUUUAAGACCUUUUCGGAAACUUGAGAGCAGGUUAAGCCCUCCAUGUAAAUACAGCCCCAAAUAAAUACUAGCAUAAUGCAAGAAAUGUUUUAAAUGCAGAAACAUUUUAGAUACCAAAGCAGAUAUAAAAACUAAAUCUUUGUAUCUGCCUUGUACUAUCUUUACACUGAUGGAACAGCAGAUUUUAAUCUUACGGACGAAUCCAUCAGCAUAUUGCAGUGAUAUGGAAACUAGUCAUAAUGGAACAAAUUGCCAACAGCUGACCAAGUCCUUGGAGCACAAUAUAUUCUGGAAGGAUUUUUCUCUUUACACUAACACUAAUUUCCACUCUGAGGUAAAGAAAGAUUGCCCUGGAUUUCUGCAGUACCACAUAAAGAUUUUGGGCACAGAGCCUGGAAGAUAAUUUAGAUACCAGGGCAACUGAUAGGAGGGAAGUGAAGAACUCCGCUGCCUUUCUUUUCGUUUUUUUUAAAGUCUUAAAUUGCUUUCUUGUAGUGCAGAAGAAUCUGAAACCUCAUGGAGUCUCAAUCCUUCUCACUCUGCAAGCCAGAUGAAACAGUGGAGUGAGGAAGCUUUUAUCACUGGGCAGAGGUCAUCACAGGUGAACCAGGAAUGAGAACACUUCCACAGUAUCAACUCAUAGGCAAAACUGAGAAAAAUACUUGUCAGCUUGUUUCUGUAUUGGUAAAAGCCAUUUUCAGGGUAUGUACUUUUCCCAGCUGCUGGUUCUCAGUUAUCCCUAUGCUACAGGUGUUUUUUCACUCAUUCAGCUUCUCUACCGGGCCUUUUUCCUCCUCAUCCAUCUUUGACUAUCUCCCUUAUAGACUCCCCUACCAGAAAAAAAGUAUUUCUUCAGCAGUGGUUUGCCCACUCACCAGCAUUUUGCUCAAAGGAUGUGUUUCUUCCGACCCCUUUUACCUCAUAUACAAGUGUUAGCAUACUUUUUUGAUUUGAGAAAUCUUUUCAGGUUUGUCUUCUUUCACUUGUUUCCAUAUGUACCUAUUGACCUUUGCAAAAGAAAAUAAUGUGACUCCUCAUCAAUAUUCCUCUUUGUCUCUAGUAUAAUUUUAACAUCACCCUUUAUAAAAGCAACUAAAAAAACUGAGA
This is a long non-coding RNA of Pseudopipra pipra, 2858 nucleotides long. RefSeq lists it as uncharacterized. The record is from RefSeq and is a predicted model, not a curated record. The transcript is spliced from 3 exons. NCBI's taxonomy places the organism in Eukaryota, Metazoa, Chordata, Aves, Passeriformes, Pipridae.